Molecule: long non-coding RNA, 202 nt
Filed under: Elaeis guineensis (African oil palm)
Lineage: Eukaryota; Viridiplantae; Streptophyta; Magnoliopsida; Arecales; Arecaceae
Description: long non-coding RNA (EGUI_LNC023490)
Source: RNAcentral
GAAACAUCUUAUGGAAUCAACUUAUUCGUCAAAAGAUAUUUUUUUAUAGUGAAAGUUGUGCAUAUAAUUUUUUGACCUGAGACUACCAUAGAACUUUGUAUACAUGAAUCUGUAUUUUGGUUCAUACUCAUUUAUGACUUUGGCAUGCAUGGGGUGAUAUGGAUAUGGUGGAAUGUGUAUGAAGGUUGUAAGUAGGUCAACA